This 253-nucleotide ribosomal RNA is filed under the name uncultured bacterium. Its description in RNAcentral is "partial 16S ribosomal RNA". It matches the Rfam family "Bacterial small subunit ribosomal RNA", at positions 524 to 776 of the family's 1533-position model. The record is from RNAcentral.
CACGUAGGGCGCAAGCGUUGUCCGGAAUUAUUGGGCGUAAAGAGCUCGUAGGCGGUCUGUUACGUCUGCUGUGAAAACCCGGGGCUUAACCCUGGGCUUGCAGUGGAUACGGGCAGUCUAGAGGCAGGUAGGGGAGAAUGGAAUUCCCGGUGUAGCGGUGAAAUGCGCAGAUAUCGGGAGGAACACCGGUGGCGAAGGCGGUUCUCUGGGCCUGACCUGACGCUGAGGAGCGAAAGUGUGGGGAUCGAACAGG